GAUGAACACUGGCGGCGUGCCUAAUACAUGCAAGUCGAGCGAACAGACGAGGAGCUUGCUCCUCUGACGUUAGCGGCGGACGGGUGAGUAACACGUGGAUAACCUACCUAUAAGACUGGGAUAACUUCGGGAAACCGGAGCUAAUACCGGAUAAUAUAUUGAACCGCAUGGUUCAAUAGUGAAAGACGGUUUUGCUGUCACUUAUAGAUGGAUCCGCGCCGCAUCAGCUAGUUGGUAAGGUAACGGCUUACCAAGGCAACGAUGCGUAGCCGACCUGAGAGGGUGAUCGGCCACACUGGAACUGAGACACGGUCCAGACUCCUACGGGAGGCAGCAGUAGGGAAUCUUCCGCAAUGGGCGAAAGCCUGACGGAGCAACGCCGCGUGAGUGAUGAAGGUCUUCGGAUCGUAAAACUCUGUUAUUAGGGAAGAACAAAUGUGUAAGUAACUAUGCACGUCUUGACGGUACCUAAUCAGAAAGCCACGGCUAACUACGUG
This 497-nucleotide ribosomal RNA is filed under the name uncultured bacterium. Its description in RNAcentral is "partial 16S ribosomal RNA". It matches the Rfam family "Bacterial small subunit ribosomal RNA", at positions 28 to 507 of the family's 1533-position model. The record is from RNAcentral.